This 440-nucleotide ribosomal RNA is filed under the name uncultured bacterium. RNAcentral's name for it is "partial 16S ribosomal RNA". It matches the Rfam family "Bacterial small subunit ribosomal RNA", at positions 338 to 795 of the family's 1533-position model. The record is from RNAcentral.
CCUACGGGUGGCAGCAGUGGGGAAUAUUGCACAAUGGGGGAAACCCUGAUGCAGCAACGCCGCGUGAGUGAUGACGGCCUUCGGGUUGUAAAGCUCUGUCUUCAGGGACGAUAAUUACGGUACCUGAGAAGGAAUCCACGGCUCACUACGUGCCAGCAGCCGCGGUAAUACGGAGGUGGCGAGCGUUGUCCGGAUUUACUGGGCGUAAAGGGAGCGUAGGCGGUAUGUUAAGUGAAGGGUGAAAUCCCCGCGCUCAACGUGGGAACUGCCGUUGAAACUGGCAAACUGGAGUGUGUGAGAGGAGAGUGGAAUUCCAGGUGUAGGAGUGAAAUGCGUAGAUAUCGGGAGGAACAUCAGUGGCGAAGGCGACUAUCUGGCACAUAACUGACGCUGAGGAGCGAAAGCGUGGGUAGCAAACAGGAUUAGAUACCCCAGUAGUC